GAUGAACGCUGGCGGCGUGCCUAAUACAUGCAAGUCGAGCGAACAGACGAGGAGCUUGCUCCUCUGACGUUAGCGGCGGACGGGUGAGUAACACGUGGAUAACCUACCUAUAAGACUGGGAUAACUUCGGGAAACCGGAGCUAAUACCGGAUAAUAUAUUGAACCGCAUGGUUCAAUAGUGAAAGACGGUUUUGCUGUCACUUAUAGAUGGAUCCGCGCCGCAUUAGCUAGUUGGUAAGGUAACGGCUUACCAAGGCGACGAUGCGUAGACGACCUGAGAGGGUGAGCGGCAACACUGGAACUGAGACACGGUCCAGACUCCUACGGGAGGCAGCAGUAGGGAAUCUUCCGCAAUGGGCGAAAGCCUGACGGAGCAACGCCGCGUGAGUGAUGAAGGUCUUCGGAUCGUAAAACUCUGUUAUUAGGGAAGAACAAAUGUGUAAGUAACUAUGCACGUCUUGACGGUACCUAAUCAGAAAGCCACGGCUAACUACGUG
This 497-nucleotide ribosomal RNA is filed under the name uncultured bacterium. RNAcentral's name for it is "partial 16S ribosomal RNA". It matches the Rfam family "Bacterial small subunit ribosomal RNA", at positions 28 to 507 of the family's 1533-position model. The record is from RNAcentral.